Molecule: long non-coding RNA, 296 nt
Filed under: Malus domestica (apple)
Lineage: Eukaryota; Viridiplantae; Streptophyta; Magnoliopsida; Rosales; Rosaceae
Description: long non-coding RNA (MDOM_LNC008552)
Source: RNAcentral
AUAUCCCUCGUUCAUUUGCUCUUAGGCAAAUCACAUUGUAGGAUUACAAUGAACUACCUAACAAAACAACAUUUGUUAGUUGGUUUAUAGAAGCGAUAUCCAAAAGUUAAUUUAAGGAUAUCCCACAAGAUUAUUAUCAAACAAAUAUUGCUUAUAAGCUCACAACCCCAAAUCUUAACAUGCUUAAGAUUUGUCUUUCUUUCCAACUACAUCUUAUGGAGUCAUGAAAAUCUUGGAAGAUCUUCUAAUUGACAAUCAUAUUGUUUUUAGAAGUAUAUAUCCUAUAUAUGGGUAAU